UUAAUUCCGAUAACGAACGAGACUCUAGCCUGCUAAAUAGUCCGCCUGGCCCGCCUGCCAGGCGCCGACUUCUUAGAGGGACAAGUGCGUGGAACGCACGCGAGAUUGAGCAAUAACAGGUCUGUGAUGCCCUUAGAUGUCCGGGGCCGCACGCGCGCUACACUGAAGGCAUCAACGUGUGUUCUCCCCUUGCCCGGAAGGGCCGGGUAACCCGCUGAACCGCCUUCGUGCUAGGGAUCGGGGCUUGUAAUUAUUCCCCGUGAACGAGGAAUUCCCAGUAAGCGCGAGUCAUAAGCUCGCGUUGAUUACGU
Molecule: ribosomal RNA, 311 nt
Filed under: Golfingia environmental sample
Lineage: Eukaryota; Metazoa; Annelida; Sipuncula; Golfingiida; Golfingiidae
Description: SSU rRNA
Rfam family: Eukaryotic small subunit ribosomal RNA
Source: RNAcentral